This 492-nucleotide ribosomal RNA is filed under the name uncultured bacterium. Its description in RNAcentral is "partial 16S ribosomal RNA". It matches the Rfam family "Bacterial small subunit ribosomal RNA", at positions 29 to 507 of the family's 1533-position model. The record is from RNAcentral.
AGUGAACGCUGGCGGUAGGCCUAACACAUGCAAGUCGAACGGCAGCACAGUAAGAGCUUGCUCUUACGGGUGGCGAGUGGCGGACGGGUGAGGAAUACAUCGGAAUCUACUUUUUCGUGGGGGAUAACGUAGGGAAACUUACGCUAAUACCGCAUACGACCUACGGGUGAAAGCAGGGGAUCUUCGGACCUUGCGCGAUUGAAUGAGCCGAUGUCGGGUUAGCUAGUUGGCGGGGUAAAGGCCCACCAAGGCGACGAUCCGUAGCUGGUCUGAGAGGAUGAUCGGCCACACUGGAACUGAGACACGGUCAAGACUCCUACGGGAGGCAGCAGUGGGGAAUAUUGGACAAUGGGCGCAAGCCUGAUCCAGCCAUACCGCGUGGGUGAAGAAGGCCUUCGGGUUGUAAAGCCCUUUUGUUGGGAAAGAAAAGCAGCAGGUUAAUACCACGCUGUUCUGACGGUACCCAAAGAAUAAGCACCGGCUAACUUCGUG